RNAcentral lists this ribosomal RNA (253 nucleotides) under uncultured bacterium. RNAcentral describes it as "partial 16S ribosomal RNA". It matches the Rfam family "Bacterial small subunit ribosomal RNA", at positions 524 to 776 of the family's 1533-position model. The record is from RNAcentral.
UACAGAGGGUGCGAGCGUUAAUCGGAAUUACUGGGCGUAAAGGGCGCGUAGGUGGUUUAUUAAGAUUGUUGUGAAAUCCCUGGGCUUAACCUAGGAACUGCAACGAUGACUGAUAAGCUUGAGUAUUGUAGAGGGUAGUGGAAUUUCCGGUGUAGCGGUGAAAUGCGUAGAGAUCGGAAGGAACACCAGUGGCGAAGGCGGCUACCUGGACAAAUACUGACACUGAGGCGCGAGAGCGUGGGGAGCAAACAGG